RNAcentral lists this ribosomal RNA (497 nucleotides) under uncultured bacterium. RNAcentral describes it as "partial 16S ribosomal RNA". It matches the Rfam family "Bacterial small subunit ribosomal RNA", at positions 28 to 507 of the family's 1533-position model. The record is from RNAcentral.
GAUGAACGCUGGCGGCGUGCCUAAUACAUGCAAGUCGAGCGAACAGACUAGGAGCUUGCUCCUCUGACGUUAGCGGCGGACGUGUGAGUAACACGUGGAUAACCUACCUAUAAGACUGGGAUAACUUCGGGAAACCGGAGCUAAUACCGGAUAAUAUAUUGAACCGCAUGGUUCAAUAGUGAAAGACGGUUUUGCUGUCACUUAUAGAUGGAUCCGCGCCGCAUUAGCUAGUUGGUAAGGUAACGGCUUACCAAGGCAACGAUGCGUAGCCGACCUGAGAGGGUGAUCGGCCACACGGGAACUGAGACACGGUCCAGACUCCUACGGGAGGCAGCAGUAGGGAAUCUUACGCAAUGGGCGAAAGCGUGACGGAGCAAAGCCGCGUGAGUGAUGAAGGUCUUCGGAUCGUAAAACUCUGUUAUUAGGGAAGAACAAAUGUGUAAGUAACUAUGCACGUCUUGACGGUACCUAAUCAGAAAGCCACGGCUAACUACGUG